CCUACGGGAGGCAGCAGUGAGGAAUAUUGGUCAAUGGACGAGAGUCUGAACCAGCCAAGUAGCGUGAAGGAUGACUGCCCUAUGGGUUGUAAACUUCUUUUAUAUGGGAAUAAAAUGUUCCACGUGUGGGAUUUUGUAUGUACCAUAUGAAUAAGGAUCGGCUAACUCCGUGCCAGCAGCCGCGGUAAUACGGAGGAUCCGAGCGUUAUCCGGAUUUAUUGGGUUUAAAGGGAGCGUAGGUGGAUUGUUAAGUCAGUUGUGAAAGUUUGCGGCUCAACCGUAAAAUUGCAGUUGAAACGGGCAGGCUUGAGUACAGUAGAGGUGGGCGGAAUUCGUGGUGUAGCGGUGAAAUGCUUAGAUAUCACGAAGAACUCCGAUUGCGAAGGCAGCUCACUGGACUGCAACUGACACUGAGGCUCGAAAGUGUGGGUAUCAAACAGGAUUAGAUACCCCAGUAGUC
RNAcentral lists this ribosomal RNA (460 nucleotides) under uncultured bacterium. Its description in RNAcentral is "partial 16S ribosomal RNA". It matches the Rfam family "Bacterial small subunit ribosomal RNA", at positions 338 to 795 of the family's 1533-position model. The record is from RNAcentral.